GGUUAAGCGACUAAGCGUACACGGUGGAUGCCCUGGCAGUCAGAGGCGAUGAAGGACGUGCUAAUCUGCGAAAAGCGUCGGUAAGGUGAUAUGAACCGUUAUAACCGGCGAUGUCCGAAUGGGGAAACCCAGUGCAAUUCGUUGCACUAUCGUUAACUGAAUACAUAGGUUAACGAGGCGAACCGGGGGAACUGAAACAUCUAAGUACCCCGAGGAAAAGAAAUCAACCGAGAUUCCCCCAGUAGCGGCGAGCGAACGGGGAGCAGCCCAGAGUCUGAAUCAGCUUGUGUGUUAGUGGAACGGUCUGGAAAGUCCGACGGUACAGGGUGAUAGUCCCGUACACCAAAAUGCACAGGUUGUGAACUCGAAGAGUAGGGCGGGACACGUGGUAUCCUGUCUGAAUAUGGGGGGACCAUCCUCCAAGGCUAAAUACUCCUGACUGACCGAUAGUGAACCAGUACCGUGAGGGAAAGGCGAAAAGAACCCCGGCGAGGGGAGUGAAAAAGAACCUGAAACCGUGUACGUACAAGCAGUGGGAGCACCUUCGGGUGUGACUGCGUACCUUUUGUAUAAUGGGUCAGCGACUUAUAUUCUGUAGCAAGGUUAACCGUAUAGGGGAGCCGCAGGGAAACCGAGUCUUAACUGGGCGUUAAGUUGCAGGGUAUAGACCCGAAACCCGGUGAUCUAGCCAUGGGCAGGUUGAAGGUUGGGUAACACUAACUGGAGGACCGAACCGACUAAUGUUGAAAAAUUAGCGGAUGACUUGUGGCUGGGGGUGAAAGGCCAAUCAAACCGGGAGAUAGCUGGUUCUCCCCGAAAGCUAUUUAGGUAGCGCCUCGUGAAUUCAUCUUCGGGGGUAGAGCACUGUUUCGGCUAGGGGGUCAUCCCGACUUACCAACCCGAUGCAAACUACGAAUACCGAAGAAUGUUAUCACGGGAGACACACGGCGGGUGCUAACGUCCGUCGUGAAGAGGGAAACAACCCAGACCGCCAGCUAAGGUCCCAAAGUCAUGGUUAAGUGGGAAACGAUGUGGGAAGGCACAGACAGCCAGGAUGUUGGCUUAGAAGCAGCCAUCAUUUAAAGAAAGCGUAAUAGCUCACUGGUCGAGUCGGCCUGCGCGGAAGAUGUAACGGGGCUAAACCAUGCACCGAAGCUGCGGCAGCGACACUAUGUGUUGUUGGGUAGGGGAGCGUUCUGUAAGCCUGCGAAGGUGACCUGUGAGGGUUGCUGGAGGUAUCAGAAGUGCGAAUGCUGACAUAAGUAACGAUAAAGCGGGUGAAAAGCCCGCUCGCCGGAAGACCAAGGGUUCCUGUCCAACGUUAAUCGGGGCAGGGUGAGUCGACCCCUAAGGCGAGGCCGAAAGGCGUAGUCGAUGGGAAACAGGUUAAUAUUCCUGUACUUGGUGUUACUGCGAAGGGGGGACGGAGAAGGCUAUGUUAGCCGGGCGACGGUUGUCCCGGUUUAAGCAUGUAGGCUGGUUAUCCAGGCAAAUCCGGAUAAUCAAGGCUGAGGUGUGAUGACGAGGCACUACGGUGCUGAAGUAACAAAUGCCCUGCUUCCAGGAAAAGCCUCUAAGCAUCAGGUAACAUCAAAUCGUACCCCAAACCGACACAGGUGGUCAGGUAGAGAAUACCAAGGCGCUUGAGAGAACUCGGGUGAAGGAACUAGGCAAAAUGGUGCCGUAACUUCGGGAGAAGGCACGCUGGUGUGUAGGUGAAGUCCCUGCGGAUGGAGCUGAGACCAGUCGAAGAUACCAGCUGGCUGCAACUGUUUAUUAAAAACACAGCACUGUGCAAACACGAAAGUGGACGUAUACGGUGUGACGCCUGCCCGGUGCCGGAAGGUUAAUUGAUGGGGUUAUCCGUAAGGAGAAGCUCUUGAUCGAAGCCCCGGUAAACGGCGGCCGUAACUAUAACGGUCCUAAGGUAGCGAAAUUCCUUGUCGGGUAAGUUCCGACCUGCACGAAUGGCGUAAUGAUGGCCAGGCUGUCUCCACCCGAGACUCAGUGAAAUUGAACUCGCUGUGAAGAUGCAGUGUACCCGCGGCAAGACGGAAAGACCCCGUGAACCUUUACUAUAGCUUGACACUGAACAUUGAGCCUUGAUGUGUAGGAUAGGUGGGAGGCUUUGAAGCGUGGACGCCAGUCUGCGUGGAGCCAACCUUGAAAUACCACCCUUUAAUGUUUGAUGUUCUAACGUUGGCCCCUGACCGGGGUUGCGGACAGUGUCUGGUGGGUAGUUUGACUGGGGCGGUCUCCUCCCAAAGCGUAACGGAGGAGCACGAAGGUUAGCUAAUCCUGGUCGGACAUCAGGAGGUUAGUGCAAUGGCAUAAGCUAGCUUGACUGCGAGCGUGACGGCGCGAGCAGGUGCGAAAGCAGGUCAUAGUGAUCCGGUGGUUCUGAAUGGAAGGGCCAUCGCUCAACGGAUAAAAGGUACUCCGGGGAUAACAGGCUGAUACCGCCCAAGAGUUCAUAUCGACGGCGGUGUUUGGCACCUCGAUGUCGGCUCAUCACAUCCUGGGGCUGAAGUAGGUCCCAAGGGUAUGGCUGUUCGCCAUUUAAAGUGGUACGCGAGCUGGGUUUAGAACGUCGUGAGACAGUUCGGUCCCUAUCUGCCGUGGGCGCUGGAGAAUUGAGGGGGGCUGCUCCUAGUACGAGAGGACCGGAGUGGACGCAUCACUGGUGUUCGGGUUGUCAUGCCAAUGGCACUGCCCGGUAGCUAAAUGCGGAAGAGAUAAGUGCUGAAAGCAUCUAAGCACGAAACUUGCCCCGAGAUGAGUUCUCCCUGAGACUUUAAGUCUCCUGAAGGAACGUU
RNAcentral lists this ribosomal RNA (2816 nucleotides) under Klebsiella pneumoniae. RNAcentral's name for it is "partial 23S ribosomal RNA". It matches the Rfam family "Bacterial large subunit ribosomal RNA". Lineage: Bacteria; Pseudomonadati; Pseudomonadota; Gammaproteobacteria; Enterobacterales; Enterobacteriaceae. The record is from RNAcentral.